This 623-nucleotide long non-coding RNA is filed under the name Nannospalax galili (Upper Galilee mountains blind mole rat). RNAcentral's name for it is "lncRNA (ENSNGAG00000024624.1)". The record is from RNAcentral. Lineage: Eukaryota; Metazoa; Chordata; Mammalia; Rodentia; Spalacidae.
UAAAGUGCAAGGGUGAGACUUUAGCAUGGGUUCAGUGCUGCCGUGGCUUCAGGCCGAGUGCACCUGUGACAAAAUUGGCUCACUGGUUCUUCCUUUGAUGUAGGUAACUGCUGUGUACACACCUUGGGCUGAAGAGCCAGUUGUGGCCCUGUUAAGACCCAGAAACCAGGAAGAACAAGGCCCAGUUCCAGACCGUGGGCCUCAUGGGUGUGGCCGCUGUUACCUGGCCACGGCACUGCUGAGCUGCCCACAUAGCUCUCCUCUUUUGGGGGGCAUGGGGGUUCCAGGCUGUCUCAUCCUAGUAGUGCAGGUCCUGAAUUGUCAAUCUUACUAGGAUUGACUUGGGUUUGACUAGAGAGUGUGGAGAGGCUGUGAUGACCUGUGGUGGUACCUGGAGAUUCCAGACUGACAACUGUAUGUGGUCUUAAAAGUGUUAAUUAAGAGGGAACACUGGCUGUGAGUGCUGUAUCAAAUGAUCCAAAUAAACCUGUUUAUUCUUGAAAGGUGAAUGACUUUUAUAAUGUGUAUGUGUAUUGCCUGCAUAGAUGUAAGUGCACCCUGUUAGGCAAUACCCACGGAGGUCAGAAGAGGGCAUCAGAUCCCCAGGAACCAGAACCACCAUG